This 301-nucleotide ribosomal RNA is filed under the name uncultured bacterium. RNAcentral's name for it is "partial 16S ribosomal RNA". It matches the Rfam family "Bacterial small subunit ribosomal RNA", at positions 509 to 807 of the family's 1533-position model. The record is from RNAcentral.
CAGUAGCCGCGGUAAUACGUAGGUGGCAAGCGUUGUCCGGAAUUAUUGGGCGUAAAGGGCUCGCAGGCGGUUUCUUAAGUCUGAUGUGAAAGCCCCCGGCUCAACCGGGGAGGGUCAUUGGAAACUAGGAAACUUGAGUGCAGAAGAGGAGAGUGGAAUUCCACGUGUAGCGGUGAAAUGCGUAGAGAUGUGGAGGAACACCAGUGGCGCAGGCGACUCUCCUUUCUGUAACUGACGCUGAGGAGCGAAAGCGUGGGGAGCGAACAGGAUUAGAUACCCGCGUAGUCCCUGUCUCUUAUAC